This 83-nucleotide transfer RNA is filed under the name Bacteroidia bacterium. RNAcentral describes it as "tRNA-Leu". It matches the Rfam family "tRNA". Rfam says of the family: Transfer RNA (tRNA) molecules are approximately 80 nucleotides in length. Their secondary structure includes four short double-helical elements and three loops (D, anti-codon, and T loops). Further hydrogen bonds mediate the characteristic L-shaped molecular structure. tRNAs have two regions of fundamental functional importance: the anti-codon, which is responsible for specific mRNA codon recognition, and the 3' end, to which the tRNAs corresponding amino acid is attached (by aminoacyl-tRNA synthetases). tRNAs cope with the degeneracy of the genetic code in two manners: having more than one tRNA (with a specific anti-codon) for a particular amino acid; and 'wobble' base-pairing, i.e. permitting non-standard base-pairing at the 3rd anti-codon position. The record is from RNAcentral. Lineage: Bacteria; Pseudomonadati; Bacteroidota; Bacteroidia.
GCGCUCGUGGUGUAAUUGGUAGCCACGCCAGACUUAGGAUCUGGUGCUGAAAGGCGUGGGGGUUCGAGUCCCUUCGAGCGCAC